CAGGCAUGUGGUAUCUGAGGCAUAGCAUCCUGACCUAGUUGGCUACGGCCUAGACCGCAGACCCCUGCAGAAAUCCUCCAGGAUUAUCCUGUUGUAAACUUUGCAGGACCUCAGUGAUUAGUGGGAUUUGGCUCUGUGCUGCUCAUACACGGUCACACAUGCUUUUUCCCAAGGUAUGUUUUGUGUUCUU
Molecule: long non-coding RNA, 190 nt
Organism: Perognathus longimembris pacificus (Pacific pocket mouse)
Lineage: Eukaryota; Metazoa; Chordata; Mammalia; Rodentia; Heteromyidae
Exons: 3
Source: RefSeq, a predicted model, not a curated record